CAGAGAUGAAUUCAAAGAGGAGCUGCUGAAGGAGUUUAAGGAGUUGGGCUUUAAUGGUGAGGAGAAGAUUCCUUUCUCCACGCUAUGCCAGCAUCCCUUUCUGCAGGACCUGAUGGAAGGAUCCUCACAGUACCUGCUUCCUGACAUUCACAAAAUU
Long non-coding RNA from Sinocyclocheilus grahami, 157 nucleotides. RefSeq lists it as uncharacterized. The transcript is spliced from 3 exons. NCBI's taxonomy places the organism in Eukaryota, Metazoa, Chordata, Actinopteri, Cypriniformes, Cyprinidae. The record is from RefSeq and is a predicted model, not a curated record.